CAGGGAUUGCCCUAGUAACGGCGAGUGAAGCGGCAACAGCUCAAAUUUGAAAUCUGGCUCUUUUAGAGUCCGAGUUGUAAUUUGCAGAGGGCGCUUUGGCGUUGGCAGCGGUCCAAGUUCUUUGGAACAGGACGUCACAGAGGGUGAGAAUCCCGUACGUGGUCGCUAGCCUUCGCCGUGUAAAGCCCCUUCGACGAGUCGAGUUGUUUGGGAAUGCAGCUCUAAAUGGGAGGUAAAUUUCUUCUAAAGCUAAAUACUGGCCAGAGACCGAUAGCGCACAAGUAGAGUGAUCGAAAGAUGAAAAGCACUUUGGAAAGAGAGUCAAAUAGCACGUGAAAUUGUUGAAAGGGAAGCGCUUGCAGCCAGACUUGCCUGUAGUUGCUUAUCCGGACUUUUGUCCGGUGCACUCUUCUGCGGGCAGGCCAGCAUCAGUUUGGGCGGUUGGAUAAAGGUCUCUGUCAUGUACCUCCUUUCGGGGAGGCCUUAUAGGGGAGACGACAUGCAACCAGCCUGGACUGAGGUCCGCGCAUCUGCUAGGAUGCUGGCGUAAUGGCUGUAAGCGGCCCGUCUUGAAACACGGACCAAGGAGUCUAACAUCUAUGCGAGUGUUUGGGUGUCAAGCCCAGACGCGUAAUGAAAGUGAACGGAGGUGGGAACCUUUUAGGUGCACCAUCGACCGAUCCUGAUGUCUUCGGAAGGAUUUGAGUAAGAGCAUGGCUGUUGGGACCCGAAAGAUGGUGAACUAUGCUUGAAUAGGGUGAAGCCAGAGGAAACUCUGGUGGAGGCUCGCAGCGGUUCUGACGUGCAAAUCGAUCGUCAAAUUUGGGCAUAGGGGCGAAAGACUAAU
RNAcentral lists this ribosomal RNA (847 nucleotides) under Coniothyrium ferrarisianum. RNAcentral's name for it is "partial large subunit ribosomal RNA". It matches the Rfam family "Eukaryotic large subunit ribosomal RNA", at positions 69 to 935 of the family's 3401-position model. Lineage: Eukaryota; Fungi; Ascomycota; Dothideomycetes; Pleosporales; Coniothyriaceae. The record is from RNAcentral.